AGCUUAGCCAUCUAAUUUUUUAGCAUGCAUUGGAAUCCUCAGAAUUUUUGGUUGAAUAAGAAUGAAUUUUAAAAGUCUCCACUUCUUCUGUGGUUGAAGGAAAGGAGCUCCCCACGAGAAGUUCAAGUGAAAAUGCCAAAGUGACCAGCCUGGACAGCAGCUCCCAUAGAAUCAUCGCAGUUCACUAUGUACUAGAGGAGAGCAGCGGCUACAUGGAGCCCACGUUGCGUAUCUUAGCUAUUCUGCACACGGUCAUUUCUUUCUUCUGCAUCAUUGGAUACUACUGCUUGAAAGUCCCAUUGGUUAUUUUUAAGCGAGAAAAGGAAGUGGCACGGAAAUUGGAAUUUGAUGGGCUUUAUAUUACAGAACAGCCUUCAGAAGAUGAUAUUAAAGGCCAGUGGGAUAGACUCGUAAUCAACACACAGUCAUUUCCCAACAACUACUGGGACAAAUUUGUUAAAAGAAAGGUUAUGGAUAAGUAUGGAGAGUUCUACGGCCGAGACAGAAUCAGUGAAUUACUUGGCAUGGACAAGGCAGCUCUGGACUUCAGUGAUGCCAGAGAAAAGAAGAAGCCAAAGAAAGACAGCUCCUUAUCAGCUGUACUGAACUCCAUUGAUGUGAAGUAUCAGAUGUGGAAACUAGGAGUCGUUUUCACUGACAAUUCCUUCCUCUACCUAGCCUGGUAUAUGACUAUGUCUGUUCUUGGACACUAUAACAACUUUUUUUUUGCCGCUCACCUUCUCGACAUUGCUAUGGGAUUCAAGACAUUAAGAACCAUCUUGUCCUCAGUAACUCACAAUGGCAAACAGCUCGUAUUAACCGUUGGCUUAUUAGCUGUUGUUGUAUACCUAUACACUGUGGUGGCAUUCAAUUUUUUCCGAAAAUUCUACAAUAAAAGUGAAGAUGGUGAUACGCCAGAUAUGAAAUGUGACGAUAUGCUAACAUGCUAUAUGUUCCACAUGUAUGUUGGAGUUCGUGCAGGAGGAGGGAUCGGGGAUGAAAUCGAAGACCCAGCAGGCGAUGAAUAUGAGAUCUAUCGAAUCAUCUUUGACAUCACUUUCUUCUUCUUUGUUAUUGUCAUUCUCUUGGCCAUAAUACAAGGUCUAAUUAUCGAUGCUUUUGGAGAACUAAGAGACCAACAGGAACAAGUCAAAGAAGACAUGGAGGUUUUUUCUGAUGUAUCUUAUAAACAAAGAUGAAACAGAACACACAGGACAGGAAUCUUAUGUCUGGAAGAUGUAUCAAGAAAGGUGUUGGGAAUUUUUCCCAGCAGGGGAUUGCUUCCGGAAACAGUAUGAAGACCAGCUAAAUUAAACUCAGACCCCAAUCACCUCUAAAAACCAAAACCCUACCCCUCUCUCUCCCUCUCUCAAUUUCUCUGCUCUCUUGGAAACAUUUUGCUGAUUUUGUGAAUUGCCAGCGUUGU
This 1426-nucleotide small RNA is filed under the name Pan troglodytes (chimpanzee). Its description in RNAcentral is "processed transcript". Lineage: Eukaryota; Metazoa; Chordata; Mammalia; Primates; Hominidae. The record is from RNAcentral.